GUCCACGCCUUAAACGAUGGAUGCUAGACGUCGGGCCUUUAUGGUUCGGUGUUGUAGCUAACGCGUUAAGCAUCCCGCCUGGGGAGUACGGUCGCAAGAUUAAAACUCAAAGGAAUUGACGGGGACCCGCACAAGCGGUGGAGCAUGUGGUUUAAUUCGAUGCUACGCGAAGAACCUUACCAGGCCUUGACAUGUAUUUGAACCUUUUGAGAGAUCAAUUGGGUGUAGCAAUACACGGAUACACAGGUGUUGCAUGGCUGUCGU
This 264-nucleotide ribosomal RNA is filed under the name uncultured bacterium. RNAcentral's name for it is "partial 16S ribosomal RNA". It matches the Rfam family "Bacterial small subunit ribosomal RNA", at positions 793 to 1055 of the family's 1533-position model. The record is from RNAcentral.